This is a long non-coding RNA of Vigna angularis (adzuki bean), 767 nucleotides long. RefSeq lists it as uncharacterized. The transcript is spliced from 2 exons. NCBI's taxonomy places the organism in Eukaryota, Viridiplantae, Streptophyta, Magnoliopsida, Fabales, Fabaceae. The record is from RefSeq and is a predicted model, not a curated record.
UUUAUUUUCUCAUUGUAUUAUAUUUCUAUCGUUAUAAAUAGAAGAUCAUAAAAGGGGUCUUUCAACCUCUUUAAAAUUUAUUUUUCUCUCUUUUUUGAAUCUUAAGUCUUCCAAUCAUGAGAUCCGAGCCUUCUGAUGUUAUCCAGCAAAGCUGCACAAGGAUGAGCGGGAUCAGCAUUCAAUACCUCAUGAACACAGGACAUUUUUAUCUAACGAAAUAGGUUUAGAAUUUAAAAUUUGACAUUAUUAUCUCCAAGUGACCAAUUCUUCCUGAUAAGUUUAUUAUUGCAGAGAAUAUUUGAAGUGAAUAUCACCUCUCUCUACCUCCCCAAAUUUGUUGUGUGCUUUCCCACGUAUUUUCUUUUGAGUCCAUGCCUCCUCCGACCAAGAUUACAGUUUCAACAUCAAUGGAGAGUUACAUGAUUAAUGUUUUAUGUGUAUGAAUUUUAUUUGCUGUCCUGAUCCUGUUAACUGUUAUUUUUUGAAUCAUUUCUGUUUAUUACGAAUUUUUAUUUGUUGUCCUGAUCCUGUCAACUGAGUUCUACAUGAUGUCGGAAGAAAAAUUGCAUGCAUAAGAAGAAGAGAUUAAUCAAAUUCAAGCAAUAUCUCAGGAGAAGCAAAAGACACACUGAUAUGGUUGACUAGGACGAGAUCUGAUGGUUGUGUCCAAAAUAGUUAAGUUGUAGUUCAUAUAUCAAUGUCAUGUGCCACUUAAUCUCAUUGAGAAAUUGUUAAAUGAAGUUUUAUUCAUGUGAUAUGUGUGGAAA